Molecule: long non-coding RNA, 692 nt
Filed under: Brassica napus (rape)
Lineage: Eukaryota; Viridiplantae; Streptophyta; Magnoliopsida; Brassicales; Brassicaceae
Description: long non-coding RNA (BNAP_LNC018973)
Source: RNAcentral
AUGUGGUGUGAUGGGGAGGAAUGUUUAUAUAACUUUGUAUAUGAUUUGGUAUUUAUUGUUUAGCGAAGAACUUAUAGAUAUAGAUUUGUGAAAUUUGGCUAUGUGAGAGUGAUUGUGUAUAUUUAAUGCGUAGUUAUGGGGUUCUGUUUGGGUAGUUACUAAAUUGCGUGAGAGUUUGUGGGAUGUAGCCAGCUUGUUAACCAUGGAUGUCUUCCAUCAACACAUGUGUUGUGAUAUUUGUUGGAGAGGAAAAAUUUAGUUAUGAUCUAAGUUGCUUGCUUAGCAAGAUAGUUCACCUUGGGAUGGUUGGAGAUUGAUGGUGAAAGAUCCUUUCAAAGGUCGAGCAUUGAGUCCAGCAUAAGGCACUGUUUUCCUGACAUCACUUUGUCGAGGUCUCUUCUUUGCCAUUUGGUAAUGAUCAGAGGAGUUCCUAUGCAGCAAAGUAGAGAGCCAAGUAUUUAAGAAAAUUAACAUUUAGGAGUUUCAAUCGUUUAGUUGUGAGAGAGUAGGUGUUGAGAAUAUCUUCAAGCCUCUGUUGUUAUUUGAAACCUUUUCUCUUAUUUGAAACUUUUUUUGUAUGGCGAUUAAUAGAGGGUGUGUUUAUGGAAAAUAAUGACAAACCGUCUUCUUUGUAUAUAGUACUUGAACAAAACACCUACAAACAAUUAUUUUAAUGUAUGAAUAUAUAAUAG